GAUGAACGCUAGCUACAGGCUUAACACAUGCAAGUCGAGGGGCAUCAGGAAGAAAGCUUGCUUUCUUUGCUGGCGACCGGCGCACGGGUGAGUAACACGUAUCCAACCUGCCCUUUACUCGGGGAUAGCCUUUCGAAAGAAAGAUUAAUACCCGAUAGCAUAAUGAUUCCGCAUGGUUUCAUUAUUAAAGGAUUCCGGUAAAGGAUGGGGAUGCGUUCCAUUAGGUUGUUGGUGAGGUAACGGCCCACCAAGCCUUCGAUGGAUAGGGGUUCUGAGAGGAAGGUCCCCCACAUUGGAACUGAGACACGGUCCAAACUCCUACGGGAGGCAGCAGUGAGGAAUAUUGGUCAAUGGACGAGAGUCUGAACCAGCCAAGUAGCGUGAAGGAUGAAGGUCCUACGGAUUGUAAACUUCUUUUAUAAGGGUAAUAAAGUGAGUCUCGUGAGGCUUUUUGCAUGUACCUUAUGAAUAAGGACCGGCUAAUUCCGUG
This 490-nucleotide ribosomal RNA is filed under the name uncultured bacterium. RNAcentral describes it as "bacterial SSU rRNA". It matches the Rfam family "Bacterial small subunit ribosomal RNA", at positions 28 to 507 of the family's 1533-position model. The record is from RNAcentral.